Molecule: non-coding RNA, 45 nt
Filed under: Schistosoma curassoni
Lineage: Eukaryota; Metazoa; Platyhelminthes; Trematoda; Strigeidida; Schistosomatidae
Source: RNAcentral
AUCCAGUUGACAAGUCCUAAAUAGGACGAAACGCGUGUCCUGGAU